UGGAAGCUCUGCUGCAAAGGACUGGUCGUCGACACCAUAGUCGUACUGGGGGUUGCCGACAGUCUCAGGGUCUAUCGAGAGAGAAGGAGGGGGAAAGAAACAGUAAAUACACAGCAACCAAGGCAACACAAAGCAUAGCAUGGCAAUAAGCAGUGCCGGGUGUGUCCUAACAUACGGUUACACGAUACCGAGGAAGGGGGAAUCCAUCCGGGGAAGUUUUCCCGGUUCCGGACAAAUGUCAAACAGGUGCCCGGAGGGGGAAUGUCCCAUGUUCAGGUAUUUAGAGGCGUCACACGGAUAUGUGGUUACGUAUUCGGGUUCGUCUCGUCGUUCUGAGCAACUUUGAUAUAUAAAGUUUGUUCAUCAGAGUUACAGUUUACUUUAUAUUGAUUUUUAAUGCUUUAAAUCAUUUCCCAGAAUUAAUAAAAUGAAUUUAAUUAGAAAUUGCAAUUAGGACGUCAGCAUGAUGUCAUCAUGAAGUCAUCAGGGCCAAAGGUUGACUGGGUCAACCCUGGCAGGUGGGAUCCGUUCGUCAUAGAUUCAGAUUAACUAAACAGAGUUAAUUAGUUUUACCAAAUGAUUAGGUUAAUUAAACUGAAUUAAUUAAUGUAAUUAAUUAGUUAAUUUUUUAUUUACUAUUUAUUAUACAUUAUUAUUAUUUAUUUAUUUUGAAACAGAGUUAUUUACUGAUUCAAACAGGUUUAACUAGAGGUGGUCCCAUGUGUCAUUGAGUGAUUAUUUAGCAAACUUUUAAUUAAAAGAGGGCCCACAUGUUAGUGGGUCAACCCUCUGUUAAACAUGUGUGGGUGCGUCCGUGCCCGCUUGCGAGCACAGAGGACGACGGCGUUCACGUGGGCGGCGGCUCCGGCGAUCGAAUGGCCGGCCUCGAGCGUCUUCGGGGCGAGGCGACGACGCGGAGAGGAGAGACGGUAGUGGGUGCGGGCAUGCGUUCGCGUGCCCGUGGGGGCGGACCCAAGCGGUUCAGACGGCAAGCGAGGCCGCGGCAAGGGGCGCCGACGCGCCUAACCGGAACCGCGGCGAGGGACACGGGCGCGCGGCUGGUACCGGCGUCCGGACGGCGCGGGGGCGUGAGCAAGGUGCGGGCACGGGUAGGGGCUGGCUCGGCGGCGCCCAAGGCAGAGGCGAGGCCAGUCCGGGGGGAAGGAGAUGCGGACGAACUAGAGGGGGAGGGAAAGGGGAUCCUCACCCCCGAUGCAGGGGUUCGCCGGCGAGGCUCGACGGAGUCCGGCGAGGUGGCAGUCGAACGGCGGCGGGGAGCGGGGCAAAGAGGGGAGACGUGGUCGAUCCGGCGAGGUAGGGGUCCCGGGCUUGAUCUCAUGGGCGAAGACGUUGAAGAGGAGGUUGGCGCAACUGAUGGGCAUGUAGGUGCGGCGAAUGGAGGCCGGUGGCCGCGCUGGUUCGCGACAGCGAGCGGUGGCCAUGGGGAUCGGGCGAUGAGCCCCUCCUGUGCGUGUGUGGUGGCGGCGGUGUGGGGGAACGAGGGAGUAGCGAGGGGAGGAAGUGGG
This 1526-nucleotide long non-coding RNA is filed under the name Triticum aestivum (bread wheat). RNAcentral describes it as "long non-coding RNA (TAES_LNC003958)". The record is from RNAcentral. Lineage: Eukaryota; Viridiplantae; Streptophyta; Magnoliopsida; Poales; Poaceae.